Molecule: ribosomal RNA, 1314 nt
Filed under: Triticum aestivum (bread wheat)
Lineage: Eukaryota; Viridiplantae; Streptophyta; Magnoliopsida; Poales; Poaceae
Description: partial small subunit ribosomal RNA
Source: RNAcentral
AUGGAGAAGGAGCAGAAGGUGGAGGGCGAGAGGGCCGCGGCGGCCACGCAGCGGUGGGUGAUCGGGGUGGGGUUCUGGGUGCAGGGCUUCCGGCUCUUCCCCUGGCUGGGCGUCAACUUCUUCCUCAAGGACGCCAUGGGCGUCCCCUCCUCCUCGCUGCAGAUCCUCCAGGCCUCCGCCACCCUGCCCAUGGUCGCCAAGCCGCUCCUCGGCCUCCUCUCCGACGCCGUCCCCAUCCGCGGCUGCCGCCGCCUGCCAUACGUCGCCAUCGGCGCUCUCUUGCAGGCAGUUUCAUGGUUAGGAAUUGCCCUCUGGCCGUCUCUUUCUCUUCCGGUUCUUACAAUUUUUCUCCUCUUGAGCAACUUUGGUGCAUCCAUAUGUGAGGUUGCCAAUGAUGCCAUUGUAGCGGAGGCCGGGAAGCAGGCAACCUCUUCCUCAGGGGGUCAGCUUCAAUCCUUUGCUUGUAUGUUUGGCGCUUCUGCUGGCGCGUUAGGAAACCUCCUAGGUGGCAUUGCUCUCAGCUACUUUUCCCCCAAACUCAUGUUCCUAUUUUUCGCAAUCGUUCUCGUGCUCCAGUUCUUCACUACUGUGGCUAUACCUGAGAGCUCCCUCAAACUCCCAAAGGCGACUACUAAUACAUCAGUGAUUUCCAGCAUCCGUAAACAAACCAAAGAGCUGUCGUACGCGCUCUGUAUGCCGGAAAUAUUCUGGUCAGUCAUAUGGUUUUCAGUGUCCUAUGCUGCCAUACCGUUUCUACUCGGGACCAUGUUCUUCUACCAGACUGAAGUGUUAAGACUUGACUCAUCCAUCAUCGGUUUAUCCAAGGUUUUUGGGCAAGUGGCUCUCUUGGCUUGGAGCAUGGCAUACAACAAGUGCUUCAAGACAACUUCUGCACGCAAGGUCUUAUCAGCUCUGCAGUUCAUCACAGCAGUCGUAAUGUUGUCAGACGUGUUAUUUGUCCAGGGAGUGUACAGGAAGGUGGGAAUAUCAGACUCCUUAUACACCAUUGUGUUCUCAGGGCUGCUAGAGGGCCUCAUGUUCUUCAAGGUGCUACCCUUCAGUGUUCUUAUCGCAAGCCUUUGCCCCUCUGGGUGCGAGGGAUCGGUUCUGGCCUUUGUCAUGUCUGCACUUGCCCUGUCUAUUAUCAUCAGCGGAUAUCUUGGGGUUGCGCUUGCUGAAUUCAUGGGGGUAUCUGGAGAUGAUUUCUCAGCGCUGCCGGUUUGCUUGUUGAUUGAGGCUGCAUGCACAAUGUUGCCGCUAUUUUGCUCAUCAUGGAUUAAAGAGAGGAAAGGGAAGGAGAAGAAGGAAGAGUAG